RNAcentral lists this ribosomal RNA (63 nucleotides) under Tylenchorhynchus sp. YY-2014. RNAcentral's name for it is "partial 28S ribosomal RNA". It matches the Rfam family "Eukaryotic large subunit ribosomal RNA", at positions 1 to 59 of the family's 3401-position model. Lineage: Eukaryota; Metazoa; Nematoda; Chromadorea; Rhabditida; Telotylenchidae. The record is from RNAcentral.
UUUUCGACCUGAACUCAGACGUGAAUACCCGCUGAACUUAAGCAUAUCAUUUAGCGGAGGAAA